This is a long non-coding RNA of Schistocerca cancellata (South American locust), 1285 nucleotides long. RefSeq lists it as uncharacterized. NCBI's taxonomy places the organism in Eukaryota, Metazoa, Arthropoda, Insecta, Orthoptera, Acrididae. The record is from RefSeq and is a predicted model, not a curated record. The transcript is spliced from 5 exons.
CAGUCCGCCGCGCGACGCCGCACCGGCAACAGCUGCCCGCGCCUGCGCGCCCACACCGGCUGCGACCCGCGCGCCGCGCCGCGGCACCACGAUGCACCGCUGAACGAGCGUCCCGCGAUCGCCAACGGGGAGCCGACUCCACUGAGGUACGCGUCGCCUGAAGCAGCACGUGCGCCUCACUGUAACUGUUGGGGAUCCUCCCAGGACUGUACAUCGGCUGACGCGAGGCUUCCUUUUGAACCUGUCUGCGAGAAGUAAAAACUGCAAGGAGGGGAGAUCAUGGCGGCUGACGACUGGGCGCUGAGCGGCGGUCCAGGGCGGCCGGGCGACCCCAACCGUCUCCUGGGGGCGGCGUCUUUGUUAGCGUCGGCGGCGUCUCGGCGCCUUGCCACUGCCCUGUGAGCGUCCGCUCUGCCCUGGCGACACCGCACCCUACGACUGGACCGCGGCCGCUUCCAACAGCAGCAGACGCUGCCCGCGUGAUGUCCUCCGAAGAUGUUGAUCCGCACCUUCAUGUACAAGCUCGUGCGCCGGGUGAGGAAACACAGACGCUUCCGCGGUGUAAACGGCCGAACAAAGCAGUGAAGGCGAUUGCUCCUUCUGAGGCAGACACGCGUUAAGUUUUACAAUGUUCACUUAACAUCUGGAACAAUGAGAAACUCUGAUGUUGGGUGAUGGACUAUACUGAAUAAAACCUCUACGUGUAAAUAGCAACAUAUUAUUGCAAACCAAAGAACCAACUGUGAUUUUACUCGUGGUGAAGUGCUGAAAAAAUAUUGACUGCGAGGAGUUUAAAAAUAUUAUCAAUUUUGGUUAAGUCAUUGUAGGAUCCGAAUAUUCUUUUUCGAUUGGUUUAAUUUAGCACAGUAGUGAAAGUAACACCAUCACUGUACAGCUCACAGGCAAAACUAGCUGAUGUAUUCAGCAGUAAAAAGUAGUUUCAUUUGCAGACAAGUGGUAUUCAUUCUUUGGUGAAGAAUUUUGUUUAUAUAUCAAGUGUAAGGAAAUACAAGGCUCUGUCGAGACAUAGACUUUUAAUCUGAUUCCGGCGCAUAAUCCUCAUAAGUGUACACACAUUUUUUCGCAUAACUUGUUGGGCAGUAAGAACUAGGAGAGAAGGAGCUGCAGCAAAAGCCUAAGGUUAGCACACAAGCUCGAGGCCUGUGUAGUGACGUCAAACUCCGCGGUGGCUGCCGAAAGCCGUUCGCCGGACGAGCGGACGCCGUCCGCGGAAGCCUGCACGGCGCCAGAUAUGGCGGCGACGGCGGUAGCGUCGGGGGCGGCG